UACGUAGGUGGCUAGCGUUGUCCGGAUUUACUGGGCGUAAAGAGCGCGCAGGCGGUCGUUCAAGUCGAGUGUGAAAGCCCCCGGCUCAACUGGGGAGGGUCACUCGAUACUGAUCGACUCGAAGGCAGGAGAGGGAAGCGGAAUUCCCGGUGUAGUGGUGAAAUGCGUAGAUAUCGGGAGGAACACCAGUGGCGAAGGCGACUUCCUGGCCUGUUCUUGACGCUGAGGCGCGAAAGCUAGGGGAGCAAACGGG
Molecule: ribosomal RNA, 253 nt
Filed under: uncultured bacterium
Lineage: Bacteria
Description: partial 16S ribosomal RNA
Rfam family: Bacterial small subunit ribosomal RNA
Source: RNAcentral